AGUGAACGCUGGCGGUAGGCCUAACACAUGCAAGUCGAACGGCAGCACAGUAAGAGCUUGCUCUUACGGGUGGCGAGUGGCGGACGGGUGAGGAAUACAUCGGAAUCUACUUUUUCGUGGGGGAUAACGUAGGGAAACUUACGCUAAUACCGCAUACGACCUACGGGUGAAAGCAGGGGAUCUUCGGACCUUGCGCGAUUGAAUGAGCCGAUGUCGGAUUAGCUAGUUGGCGGGGUAAAGGCCCACCAAGGCGACGAUCCGUAGCUGGUCUGAGAGGAUGAUCAGCCACACUGGAACUGAGACACGGUCCAGACUCCUACGGGAGGCAGCAGUGGGGAAUAUUGGACAAUGGGCGCAAGCCUGAUCCAGCCAUACCGCGUGGGUGAAGAAGGCCUUCAGGUUGUAAAGCCCCUUUGUUGGGAAAGAAAAGCAGCAGGUUAAUACCCCGCUGUUCUGACGGUACCCAAAGAAUAAGCACCGGCUAACUUCGUG
Molecule: ribosomal RNA, 492 nt
Filed under: uncultured bacterium
Lineage: Bacteria
Description: partial 16S ribosomal RNA
Rfam family: Bacterial small subunit ribosomal RNA
Source: RNAcentral